This 497-nucleotide ribosomal RNA is filed under the name uncultured bacterium. RNAcentral describes it as "partial 16S ribosomal RNA". It matches the Rfam family "Bacterial small subunit ribosomal RNA", at positions 28 to 507 of the family's 1533-position model. The record is from RNAcentral.
GACGAACGCUGGCGGCGUGCCUAAUACAUGCAAGUUGAGCGCUGAAGGUUGGUACUUGUACCAACUGGAUGAGCAGCGAACGGGUGAGUAACGCGUGGGGAAUCUGCCUUUGAGCGGGGGACAACAUUUGGAAACGAAUGCUAAUACCGCAUAAAAACUUUAAACACAAGUUUGAAGUUUGAAAGAUGCAAUUGCAUCACUCAAAGAUGAUCCCGCGUUGUAUUAGCUAGUUGGUGAGGUAAAGGCUCACCAAGGCGAUGAUACAUAGCCGACCUGAGAGGGUGAUCGGCCACAUUGGGACUGAGACACGGCCCAAACUCCUACGGGAGGCAGCAGUAGGGAAUCUUCGGCAAUGGACGAAAGUCUGACCGAGCAACGCCGCGUGAGUGAAGAAGGUUUUCGGAUCGUAAAACUCUGUUGGUAGAGAAGAACGUUGGUGAGAGUGGAAAGCUCAUCAAGUGACGGUAACUACACAGAAAGGGACGGCUAACUACGUG